AGUGGAGGUUUGAUAACAAACCUGGAAGCAGUGUCCCUGCUCUGAGAGCAUUCCAGGGGCUCCAGGCACCCAACAAGCUCCGGGGAGCAGGGGUUUAGGAGGGAGGCGCUCAUCCUGGUGUGUUGGACAUGUGUGGCCUGGGCUGAAGAUCCAGCCUGGAGCUGUGUGCUUGAUACACAAGCCCUCUACCCUUGAGCCACAUUCCCAAGCCUUGGAGUUCUUCCUGAGCUUGCAGAAGCCAGGAGAGGCCUCAGAGAAGUGAAGUUACAGAUGGUUGUGAAUCAUCAUGUGAGUGAUGAGAAGGAAACCAGUUCUCUGUGAGACUACCACAGUCGACCCCACCGUGUUCUCUGACAUCACGGCCGAUGACGAGCCCUUGAAGAGUCUCCUUCCAGCUGUUUGCAGACAAAGUUCCAAAGACAGCGGGAAACUUUCAUGCUCUGAGCACUGGAGAGAAAGGAUUUUACUAGAAGGGUUCCUCCUUUCACAGAAUUAUUCCAGGAUUCAUGUGCCAGGGUGGUGACUUUACAUGCCAUAAUGGCACUGGCGGCAGAUCCAUCUAUGGAGAGAAAUUUGAGGAUGAGAUCUUCAUCCUGAAGCAUACAGGUCCUGGCAUCUUGUCCAUGGCAAAUACUGGACCAACACAAACGGUUCCCAGUUUUUUAUCUGCACUGCCAAGACUAAGUGGCUGGAUGGCAAGCAUGUGGUGUCUGGGAAGGUGAAAGAAGGCAUGAACAUUGUGGAAGCCAUGGAGUGUUUUGGGUCCAGGAAUGGAAAGACCAGCAAGACCAUUUCCGACUGUGGAUAACUCUAAUUUCUUUUGACUUGCAGGCAUUUUACCCAUCCAACCAUUCCUUCUGUAGCGCAGGAGAGCAUCCCUACCCCAUCUGCUUGAAAUACCCUGUAAUCUCUGCUCAAGUUCUUUGGGUUCCAUAUUUUCCUCAUUCCCCUUCAAGUCUAGCUGGAUGGCAAAGUUAAGUUUAUGAUUAUGAAUAAAAACUAAAUAAGAAAAGAAA
Molecule: RNA transcript, 1016 nt
Organism: Mus musculus (house mouse)
Lineage: Eukaryota; Metazoa; Chordata; Mammalia; Rodentia; Muridae
Gene name: predicted gene 6069
Exons: 4
Source: RefSeq, marked validated